GAUCUGGUAUUGCUGUGAGCUAUGGCGUAGGCCAGCAGCUACAGCUCCAAUUUGACCCCUAGCCUGGGAAUUUCCACCUGCCACAGGUGUGGUCCUAAAAAGCCAAAAAGAAAAAAAUAUUACAGACUCUGUAUUAUUCUCUUAAAUCAGAAUAUUAUUAAGAGAUGAAAGUACGUUGUCAUCUUUUCAAGACCUAGUUGGUGCUUAAUACCUUUUUUGGCCAGUCAAUGAAUUCUUUAAAUUUCAUUUUUAACAACACCAAUGCCCACACUGCCUGCUUUAAUAUUUUCAACAAAUCAUUUGGCUUAUACAAUAUACAUAUAAGGGAGUGAGAAGGAAGGUAAAGAUUUAAACGUUCUGACACAAUCUUCUGUCAGGUUGAUUGCAAUUUAAAUAUGUGCCGAGGCUUUUACAGAUCAAACCCAAGCAUUUGUUCAUUGCCGUGUAAGGAGUGAAGGGGCGGAUUUUUAAUGGGAAAAAAUUAAAGAAAGCUUAUUUAGAAAGGGAUCUGUUUAUUCAGAGAGACAUAAUCUUGCUGAGAAGCAUCUUUUUUUUCCUGCCUGAAUCCAAAAUGUUCCGUCAACAUUAGAUCUAGUGAAAUGUCCCCCUGGGUUGAGGUGUCCCCUUGGCUGGGGAGGCCAUGGACGUCAGCAGGGCCAGAGCCAGCAAAGGAAGGGUGAUCCCCUGAGAGCUGCCGAGGGCGGAACGCCUAAAGGACUUGUAUUCAUGUUCUUACCCUGCCACGGCACAUUACCAUUACCAUUAAAGACUUGGUGGCUUAAAACCACACAAGGUUACUAUCUUACAUUUUGGUGUGUUAGAAUUCUGGCCCAGGUCUCACACAGUGAGAGGACUAUGUUUCCUCGGCAGGCCCUGGGUAGGAUCAGUGGAGGGGAUGGUAGAGCUGCCUACCACAGCGCUCAUGGGAGUGAGGCCUAAUGUUGGGGGGUCAGAGGGCUCUAGAGAAAAGUGGUGACCUCAAGAAAUACAUUCAAAUGAUGGGCAAUGAGUAGGGAGAUCAACUUACCAUAGCCCAGUGGUUAGUUAGUCUGGGGUUCGAGAGGUGAAUACUUGGAAAUGGGACAAGAGGUUAAAAAAGGGGCAGAGAGCCAUGCUUGCCUUUCUGUAUGAAGUUUAUUAGGCAUUAACAGGAGGAAAGGCACACGGGAAGAGAGAGACAAAUAGAACUACGGCAAGAGCAGAAGACCCACCAGCAGAGGGUCAAUGGGAGGUAACAGAGAAGAAGAUUCAUACAGUGGAAUGUGGAACUUAUUAAGUCUGAGAACCUAGCAUAGCUCUCAAACUUCAAGGGUCUAAUAACCACAGGAGUUACUUAUCCCUAUGACAUAAGGAUGAAAUCCAAACCAAGAACUCUGUAAAAAGAGACUGGAGAUUUUGACCACAGUCCAUUUUGGUUUCUGGGGAGAAAAGCCAUUGAAUUAGGCUCACAAGAGGUACCCGUCACAUGCCUGGGAACUUAGUCAACUGCUCUGUCAAUAUGCCUUUAUUCAACUCCUCUAGUCCUGAAUUAAAGAGUUUUCUAUGAGGACUCUGAGUGAGAUCAGUUGAAAACUUGAUCACAACUUAGAGAGAUUGCUAGGUUUUCUUUUUCACCAACACUGGUUCCAUACCAGAUGCUUAAAUAAGUCAGUUCCCUUGGCUUAGAUAUUUUCAUGGAACUCAUUCCUAAGCUUUCACUUCACAAGAAAAACAGCUUUGGACCAAGAUAAUAUUUCUAUAUGGGCUCUUUAAGUAUAAUCUCCAUUUGAAAGGACAUUUUAAAUAGAUUGUCACAUGACUGCUAAAGCUCUUAUUUUUUAGUGAAUUCACCAUCUUUAUAACUCCCUUUCAUGGCACCUAAGGAAUGUUUCCUUUAAUUAAUAAAAAGUAUUUCAAGAAUGGAUCUAGUAAAUAAACUAUUGGAUAAUCAGUAAAUUAUACUUGGGAAUCUCGGAUUUAGUCAGGUGUAAUUUUGCCUACAAGAAUUUGACAGAACACCCUCGAUUCUUGGAAAAUUUCUGAUAAGGAAGAUCCAAUUUGAUUCUCACAUUAAAAUGAUAUCACAAGCAACUCUGCUUGGUCUGUUUAUUCACUGUUGGCAUAAGACCGGUGUUUACAGUAGACACAGUUCCUUUGGGAUCUUAAAUACUCCUAUUUUGAAAAUCACACAGAAGGAGAUGCCUUGGCAGGACUGGAGGUUCACCAAGAACAGGCAAUGGUCAGGCUACUUGGGAUAGAUUUAAUUUGCAGGAGUAAUUGAUCCUUGUAAAAUGGCAAGUUUAUUUCUGGUCAUAACACUCUGACUUUGGAUAACAACUGAAUGCAUUUUAGCAGUACAGCUUUAAAACCAACUUGUGAUCAUUUUAAACCAUACAGUGAUAUCCCCUUAAAAGGAGACCCAAGAGACAAUUUAACAAUUUUCUCCCAAAGCUAAGAGUUUUUCAGUACACAGAGAGCCAUUUCUAGUUGCUAAGAAACCUGUCUUUAACAGUGACCCUCUUUGAUAAACAAAAGCCUCAUGAAUUAUGGUUUCUAAUUUUUGGAUGUAAUUAUGACAUAGCUUUGCUUCCAUUGUAACAAUACCUUGUACCAUCUAUACUACUUAAUAUCUUAAUGCUUUUAUUAUUUAAGUAAGCAAGUAAAUAAAUUUGGGUCAGGACAGUCCUUUCUGAGUCUCAAGAGAGAAAAUAAGACAGAUAAAUGAAAAUGUUUGUAACUGUCUCCAAUACGGGUCCCUUUAAAAACUCAAAAGGAAGUUCCGAGCAAUAUGUUUAAAUAGAACACACUUUGCAUUGACUGACUUGUAUUGUCUGUGCCUUUGAUCACCAUUUAAGAGGACAUGGCUUCAGGCCAGCUAUAGAACACCUAAAAACAACCCUUGAAAGACUCAAGUGAUGUUUUGUCCAGGAAAUCAAACACCUAGCCAAAGGGCAUCAUAAAUAAAUUUGAUCUCUCUUCAGGGGGUGCCCCUGAACAGGCCAUUAGAAAGCUUCUCUUUAAUUCAACUCAUUCUGAGAGGAAACUAAUUAAACCUGCUCUCAGAUAAAGUUGAUUAGGCUGGAAGAAGAGCUGGGAGCUGAGAGACAAGGACUGACACAGCCCUCCAGUGGGGAGAAGGCUGUGGGAAAGUUCUUAAUGCUUGGGUACAAAACGAUUCAAUAGCAAAACUGAGCCAAGCUGUUGUGAAUGUGUGUCAUCCUUAGAUCAGAAGAUAGGAAGGUGCGGGCUGACAGUGGUGCCUCUCCUUUCCUGUACUGCAUCCAUUUUAUUUGGAGAGUUAAAAUCUAGGGACAGUUUGGUGCAGCGUGACACCCCUUAAAAGAUCUGUCAAGCAGAUUAGGUUUUUUCCUUGGCUUUUGUUCCCAAUGUGUUACAGACAGAUACUUUCCCUAAAAAGCAAUGGAAGUGGGCUACUUAAACAUGAAACAGCAGGAGUUCCUGUCAUGGCUCAGCAGUGACAAACCUGACUCGUACCCAUGAGGAUGUAGGUUCGAUCCCUGGCCUCGUUCAGUGGGUUAAGGAUCCAGCAGUGAGCUGUGGUGUAGGUCACAGAUGCGGCUCAGAGCCCCAUGUUGCUGUGGCUGUGGUGUAGGCUGGCAGCUACAGUUCCAAUUUGAUCCUUAGCUUGGAACUUCCAUAGGCUGCAGGUGCGACCCUGAAAGAAAAAAAAGAAAAAACAAAGCAAAAACAUACAAUUUAUAAGCCUCCGUUUUUCAUUAUUAUAUUCGACAUGUAUAAAAUUACUCUAAGUUACUAUGAAAAUGUCCAAAUGUGGACUCCCAAUUCCUGGGCUCAUCUCUUCGAAGAUGAACAAGGGGCUACAGACCAUGCUUGAUGCAUCAUGAUGAUGCUGGCUAGAUUUCUGCUUCAGGCAGACUUCUGUUUAAACCCAUUUGUCACUUAUUAUUUCUGAAACUUGAGGAAGCUCUUUAACAAUGCACAAGUAAUCACAGAAUCAGCACACACUUCCUAAUCUUACUAGUAUCAGGUAUAAGAUCCAAGAUCCAUCUUCUAAAUGUUAAAAUACUGAGAUAUCCCUAAAUUCAUUUAUUUGUUUUUGCCACUUGAAAUUGUUAUCAGAAGAGAGACCUUCUCUAGUUUUCCCCAUUUCUUUAACGAUAUAAUUUUAAUUAUAGAUGCAAAUCAAACCAAAGCUUGCUCACACCAUAUCCCAGGAAGGGUCAAAAGCUAGAAAUAGUUGGGAGACUGGAAAAACAGUCUUGUUUCAAUAGAACUUAAAAUGAGCAACUCAAGUUCCCCAGAUGAUGUUUUAGGUGACCUCAGGCUGACCUGAGGGGAGAGUAACGAAUAGUGGAGAAUUCAAUAAAUAUUUGCAGAAUGAAUGUUAGGAAGAGUAACUUUCUGAGUUGAUGACAGAUGUGUCCACUGGGUGGAAACAUAGAUGAUAUGUUAUUUCUUACACAUUAUUAUUUUACUAUCUCAAGCAUAUGGUCUUCAAGUAUACGCUGGCCUCCUCAUUGGACCAGGAGUCUUCCAAACAUGAUUAGCCAUGAAACCUAUCUUCAAACACAACCUUAAAUGGAAGCCCACUGUAUAAAACUGAUGGAAUCACAGUUGUGUUUGUUGAAGCAGUCAGAAGUGGAAGAAUUACAGCUUGGUCUAUUUUGCCUUCCCAAUUCAGAAUGCCUAGGACACCAGAGCACGAUUGGAAAAUCUUUGCACUCAAAUUCCACUGAACUCCAUAGGAAGUCCAAAAGAUUAGUCAAGUGAGCGGUCAAGUUGCUGAAAAUAGCCAAGCGUUGUUCUCAUUUAUAAUAGGCAGGUAUCCCCUGAGCUUUCAGCUCUCUGUUGAGUCAACUCCAAGAUAUUGCCAUUUACUGCCCUGCCUCGCAAUAGUCUACUACCAUUUUGCCCUGCAUGAGACCAUCUUUUCUCAGUCAUUCUUUAACUCUUUCCUUGUAUGCGAGUAUGUGAAUUCCACCCAAUGUCUACUCUGCCACAAACUAGCACACUUUUUUAUUCAAAAGCCCAUAACAGGAGUUCCUGUCACAGCUCAGUGAUUAAUGAACCAGACUAGUAUCCAUGAGGACAUGAGUUCAGUCCCUGGCUUCACUCAAUGGGUUAAGGAUCUAGUUUUGCCUAGAGCUGUGGUGCAGAUGGCAGAUGUGGCUUGGACACUGCAUUGCUGUGGCUGUGGCAUAGGCCAGCAGCUACAGCUCCAAUUUGACCCCUAGCCUGGAAACCUCCAUAUGCUGCAGAUGUGGCC
RNAcentral lists this long non-coding RNA (5227 nucleotides) under Sus scrofa (pig). RNAcentral's name for it is "lncRNA (ENSSSCG00000062199.1)". The record is from RNAcentral. Lineage: Eukaryota; Metazoa; Chordata; Mammalia; Artiodactyla; Suidae.